AGCUUUGCGCAGUGGCAGUAUCGUAGCCAAUGAGGUUUAUCCGAGGCGCGAUUAUUGCUAAUUGAAAAAAAACAUUCAAAAUCUAUUAAUGGAAUCCAUCACAUCAACAAGCUAAAGAAGAAAGUCACCUGAUCAUAUAUAUCAAUGGAUGCAGAAAAAGCAUUUGACAAAAUUCACAUACU
This is a small nuclear RNA of 182 nucleotides. Its record names the gene U4. It matches the Rfam family "U4 spliceosomal RNA". Rfam says of the family: U4 small nuclear RNA (U4 snRNA) is a component of the major U2-dependent spliceosome. The structure of U4 snRNA from yeast and human has been reported. U4 snRNA presents a k-turn RNA motif in the 5p-SL related to recognition of Snu13 protein. The record is from Ensembl.